UGCGGGGUGGAGCGGCUGGUAGCUCGCCAGGCUCAUAACCUGGAGGUCGCAGGUUCGAAUCCUGCCCCCGCAA
This 73-nucleotide transfer RNA is filed under the name Planctomycetales bacterium 4484_113. RNAcentral's name for it is "tRNA-Met". It matches the Rfam family "tRNA". From Rfam's summary of the family: Transfer RNA (tRNA) molecules are approximately 80 nucleotides in length. Their secondary structure includes four short double-helical elements and three loops (D, anti-codon, and T loops). Lineage: Bacteria; Pseudomonadati; Planctomycetota; Planctomycetia; Planctomycetales. RNAcentral also lists the same sequence under 1 other name. The record is from RNAcentral.